GACGAACCGUGCGAACGUUGUUCGGAAUCACUGGGCUUAAAGGGCGCGUAGGCGGGCUGACAAGUCUGGGGUGAAAUCCCGCGGCUCAACCGUGGAACUGCCUUAGAUACUGUCGGCCUCGAGGAAGGUAGGGGCAUGCGGAACUGUAGGUGGAGCGGUGAAAUGCGUUGAUAUCUACAGGAACUCCGGUGGCGAAAGCGGCGUGCUGGACCUUUUCUGACGCUGAGGCGCGAAAGCUAGGGGAGCAAACGGG
RNAcentral lists this ribosomal RNA (253 nucleotides) under uncultured bacterium. RNAcentral describes it as "partial 16S ribosomal RNA". It matches the Rfam family "Bacterial small subunit ribosomal RNA", at positions 524 to 776 of the family's 1533-position model. The record is from RNAcentral.